AUGAAGCUCAAGAGAAGCUAUGCAUGGCUAUAGCCACCAGAUGAAAACGAUUUUUCAACAAAGUGUCGACCCCAAGAUGUCAAGCAAGCCGAAAAGGAUCCAAGUGCAGCUAUUGACACAGCACCAAAAACCAUGGAACAACCGAACGAAAACUGGUGAAACUUGGCAGAGCUUUGACGAUCUCAAUCUCGUGGUCUUUUAGGGCUAGGAAACCAUCAUAGGGCGCCAGAAUGUCCCCAAGGUAACUUGUUACCAGCCUCUAACAAAAUAUAGCCUUCUGCAACCAUAACA
RNAcentral lists this unclassified non-coding RNA (291 nucleotides) under Hevea brasiliensis (rubber tree). The record is from RNAcentral. Lineage: Eukaryota; Viridiplantae; Streptophyta; Magnoliopsida; Malpighiales; Euphorbiaceae.